Molecule: ribosomal RNA, 254 nt
Filed under: uncultured bacterium
Lineage: Bacteria
Description: partial 16S ribosomal RNA
Rfam family: Bacterial small subunit ribosomal RNA
Source: RNAcentral
CACGUAGGGGGCAAGCGUUGUCCGGAUUUAUUGGGCGUAAAGAGCUCGUAGGUGGUUCGGUAAGUCGGGUGUGAAACCUCCAGGCUCAACCUGGAGACGCCACCCGAUACUGCUGUGACUGGAGUCCGGUAGGGGAGCGUGGAAUUCCUGGUGUAGCGGUGAAAUGCGCAGAUAUCAGGAGGAACACCAGCGGCGAAGGCGGCGAUCUGGCCCAACAUUGACACUGAGACCCGAAAGCCAGGGGAGCAAACGGG